GCGGGAUUAGUUUAAUGGCAAAAUAACAGUUUUCCAAACUGUGGUCGGGGGUUCGAUUCCCCCAUCCCGCACAA
This 74-nucleotide transfer RNA is filed under the name Candidatus Kaiserbacteria bacterium CG10_big_fil_rev_8_21_14_0_10_51_14. RNAcentral describes it as "tRNA-Gly". It matches the Rfam family "tRNA". Rfam says of the family: Transfer RNA (tRNA) molecules are approximately 80 nucleotides in length. Their secondary structure includes four short double-helical elements and three loops (D, anti-codon, and T loops). The record is from RNAcentral. Lineage: Bacteria; Candidatus Kaiseribacteriota.